UUAACGACAAAUUUUCUCGUUAUUACGAGAUACUUUCUUGUUAAAAUUAGAAAACUUCCUCGUUAAAACGUGAUUUAUAUCACAGUGGCAGAAGGAAACCACUUGACAUUGUGCAAUCAGCGACACGAUGGACUCUUGAAGGAAGACUGGUCAAUGUUCCAGAUGAAGGCAGGAGUGAGGAAGCAUUUCCCCACACCAGUGAAGGAAGGAUCCCAUCCUGAGAAAACUGAUUGUCAUGAUGUGAAGGGUGGAGAUGGUGGACCAAGUGUGGUGGAGGGUUCCAGGAGGCAGAAGAGCAGGCACGGAUGGCCCCGACCACCCUGAAACAGCUAGGAUGCGCCGGAAUCUCCCAGAGGGCUCGACCACCCCGAGAACAGGUAGGAUGCGCUGAAAAACCAAAAACUCCAGGCUGAAAUCUCCCUCCGCUGAAAGGGACAAAAAGAAAAAAUAAUCCUCCAGAAACAGAAUGGUAAGCUCACCACAGGUCUAGGUUGGUCGGAUCAUUCUGUCAUGAUGUGAAGGGUGGAGACGGUGGACCAAGUGUGGUGGAGGGUUCCAGGAGGCAGAAGAGCAGGCACGGAUGAAAUAAAAAUGGGUUUAAUAGCAACAGGGAGCGACAGGACAAAACGAGACAUGCACAUACACAAACAUCCGACAAAGGACAGGAGAAAACAGGUGGUAAAAAUACACAAGGCUAAUUAGGAAAACAUGGGCAGGUUAACGAGGGACAGGUGAGAACAAUAUGGACUAAUCAGGGCAUGAGAGAGACAGUCAGGAGGGCAGGGGCAGAUCGUGACACUGAUAAACUCUUUUUCAAGAGUUUCAGAUUACUCUAUAAACUGGUUAAAAUCCACAGUUCUACCAAUUAAUUUCUCUUUUGUCAAUUUGCUUAAUACACAAUUGAAGUCAGGGUAUAUCACAUAUGUCUCUCCCAAGUUAGCAGAUCUGACCAAACUAAACUACAUCCCACUUUUAAAGAAAGUGGAAGAUGAUCUUGCAAGAUGGAAAUCCUUACCAAUAUCACUCAUGGGGAGGGUUGCUACAGUUAAAAUGAUGGUCUUACCCAGAAUAAAUUACUUUUAAAUUACUUAUUCUCGAUGGAUAUAAUUAAUUUUACUUGUAAAAAAAUUCCAUAAAGUUAUUGCUGCUGAGGGCUAAGGGAAUAGAUGGCUCAGAGCUAUGAUUCUGUGUAAGUUUAGCAACUGUACUGAAAAGAAUUUUAGGAUUAUUCUUAUUCUCCUCAAUUAACGCUGAAAAAAAAGCACUUCUAGUUUGUUGAAGCUAAUUUUUAUAAAGCACAAGACUAUUUUUCCAGGAUAAGUAGGACUCCUCAUGGUACGUAGAGCGCCAUGUUCUCUCCAAUUUCCUAGUUUUGUUUUAAGGCUCGUAAAUGAGAAUUAAACCAGGGAGCCGGCUUCCUGUCCCUAAUUACCUUCUUUUUUAAAGGGGCACCGUCAUCUAAUGCCACACGUAAAGAGGAAUUAACAUGAUGAACUAAGGCAUCAAUUUGUGAGGGGUUAGAACUGAGAAUAUUGCCCUCUGCUACAGGCCUCUGAGAUGCUGAGGACAGUAAAGAUGGAACUGAUUUAAAAGAUGCAACUGCGUUGUCAGAUAGAGACCGA
Nothobranchius furzeri (turquoise killifish) is the source of this 1622-nucleotide long non-coding RNA. The record is from Ensembl. NCBI's taxonomy places the organism in Eukaryota, Metazoa, Chordata, Actinopteri, Cyprinodontiformes, Nothobranchiidae.